CCAGGGUGUAGAGGACACACCCAGGACAGGAUGCCAGUCCGUCACAAGGCACCCCAAGCGGGACUCGAACCCCAGACCCACUGGAGAGCAGGACCCGGUCUAACCCGCUGCGCCACCGCACCCACCCGGAGGGAAAUUACUUAAUGACUUAAAUAAACAUCAAACUUUACACCGGUCACAUUAUUAAGCAUUGAAAAUUAUGUUGCAGAUCUAAACCAUGAUGGUCUCACCAUGGUGGUAGCAUUUUUCACUGCUGUACAUAAGUGCAAACUAUAUAUAGGCUCAGAUAUAGCAUGCACCAACCAGCAUGCCUUUGAAAUGGCUCAGCAGCAUAGCACACAAGUAACAAAUCAACAACAACGAUGGGGGGGGGGACUGUGGGAGGUGAAACGAGCACGAUGAAGGCUUUAUGUAACUUCCCAAUUGUGCAGAAUGGUCCUUUUGACCGGCCUGGGUGGGGAAGGGAGUGCAGCAGCUGCGUGCCCGUGCCCUAGUUCCAUAAAUCAAGCAUCGGUCGCUGAGAGAGCUCAGCGAAGCUGGGACGGAUGCCCUCCCCCCGACACCCCGCCCCAGCCGAACACAGCUGUGAGCAUCAGCUGACCUCGCGGUUUGAAAUAGAAUAUGCCCUCCUGCAGCCAUGCUCAUCGGACUGACUUAAACUUUGACCUUUCUCUGACUGUACAUGUAUAUGUGUCCCCACCCUCUACCGCUCAUCCCCCAGCUGCUCUGCUGCAGAGCUUCAUUAGGGGGUUGGACCACAACCAUCUCCCCGCCUCAUGGACGUCAGCAUUUUUAGCUGUGGUCUGUCUUUGUUGCGGCUCAUUUUAUUUUUUCCCUCGUUUCUUAUGCCCCCAGGAGUAACCAGGCCCUACCAGGGGGAGAGAGGGCAACACGUCCAUUUAGCCUGGACCUCGCUUCACGGAUGGGCUCAUCUAAUGUACAAACUAGUGAAGCCAGAGUACUUAAAGCUACAGCUAAAUAAAAUUAUAUUGUCAUGUAUUCCACAACUAUUUUUAAGUGCCGUUGUUUCCAAUAAAGUAUAUUUUUACCCCUCUUUGGAAUCAAUGAGGGGGCUUCACAAUAUGAAAUGGCCGGGGCCUCAUCUGAGCUCUUGGAGGCCCUGCCGAUGGCACGUUGUGUAUCGCAGAAGGAGGAGAACGCAAAGAGGGCAUAACUUUACGAAACUGCUUCAAGGGUGCGGAACAGGUCUUGAACAGAUACAGUCAGGACAGCUUACUACGUAGGCUCUGCCGUUGCCCCUCCGUCUCCUGACUGCCAAAAAAAGUGAAGGCAAAUUGGUGCUUUAGAGGAUCUAAAAAAAGCCAGACAUGAUGAAAACACCGGAGUGUUGGCAUAUAUGUCCUGCCUUACCCGAUGAGUGCAUGUUGUGACCCCUCACCUUUAAAGUGCACGGUGAGCGGGAUCACUGGGGAAUUUCCGCAUGUAAUAACUCACCGCCUGCUUGCGACGCUAGUGCCGGGGAGCUCUGUGUGUGUGUGUUUAUACACUUGUGUGUGCGUGCGCGCAGCCUACGGCGUAAUCGGAUCUGGCUCCUCAGCAGACUGGAUGGCCGGGAGCCCAGGGGCCACCCGCUGUCGCGGGGACAGAUGGAAAGGACUGCGGGUCGUUGCCGGGCCCCAGCCCCUACCUCGCCCCCCCCGCACCCCCCCGAGGUCCGUGCUAGGUGACUGAUGGGAUGGCUCAGCCGCCCACCAUCAGUCGCACCCCCCCGACAACAAGCCUGCACCAUCUGACCCGCUGUAGCCGCGGGGCAAAUGCUGCUGAUGAGCUCUCCUACGCGGCUUACCUGGUCUGCUCUGAGGCCGCCUAAGGUGUCUUCCAUCAGCGCCAGGCCAACUGCUUCAUCACGUCAGUCAGCGAGCACCGCAGUGGUGCGCAGGACAGUUUCUCUUGCCGGGCACCCCGAAGAGCGGUAAGGCUACGUGGCACACCUCCCAGCAACAGCCAGCUAAUGGCUGUCAGUUCACCGCACGUCACGCAGCACUGAAGCGACACCGAGAAGAAUGACGCUAACGUGGAAAAACUUACAAAAUAAUGCAGUACACGAUGAAAUAUCACCCACCCUUCUUUAUCCCAUCAAAACAGGCUUUUAGAAACAAUGGAACUGUGUUUUUCAAUUGUUCAUUCUGAUGAGUGCAAAAAAAAGCCGGUUUAGUUUAAUUCCUACGAGUAAAUACUUCUAGUCUUGUCAGGUCUUGGACGUUUCUGCCGAAAGCAGACUUC
This is a long non-coding RNA of Scleropages formosus (Asian bonytongue), 2244 nucleotides long. NCBI's taxonomy places the organism in Eukaryota, Metazoa, Chordata, Actinopteri, Osteoglossiformes, Osteoglossidae. The record is from Ensembl.